RNAcentral lists this ribosomal RNA (301 nucleotides) under uncultured bacterium. RNAcentral describes it as "partial 16S ribosomal RNA". It matches the Rfam family "Bacterial small subunit ribosomal RNA", at positions 509 to 807 of the family's 1533-position model. The record is from RNAcentral.
CAGCAGCCGCGGGAAUACGAAGGGGGCUAGCGUUGUUCGGAUUUACUGGGCGUAAAGGGUGCGUAGGCGGACUGAUAAGUCAGGUGUGAAAGCCCCGGGCUUAACCUGGGAAUUGCAUUUCAUACUGGGUCGCUAGAGUACUUUAGGGAGGGGUAGAAUUCCACGUGUAGCGGUGAAAUGCGUAGAGAUGUGGAGGAAUACCGAAGGCGAAGGCAGCCCCUUGGGAAUGUACUGACGCUCAUGUGCGAAAGCGUGGGGAGCAAACAGGAUUAGAUACCCCUGUAGUCCCUGUCUCUUAUAC